Molecule: ribosomal RNA, 489 nt
Filed under: uncultured bacterium
Lineage: Bacteria
Description: partial 16S ribosomal RNA
Rfam family: Bacterial small subunit ribosomal RNA
Source: RNAcentral
GACGAACGCUGGCGGCGUGCUUAACACAUGCAAGUCGAACGGAAAGGCCCUGCUUUUGUGGGGUGCUCGAGUGGCGAACGGGUGAGUAACACGUGAGUAACCUGCCCUUGACUUUGGGAUAACUUCAGGAAACUGGGGCUAAUACCGGAUAUGAGCUCCUUCUGCAUGGUUGGGGUUGGAAAGUUUCGGCGGUUGAGGAUGGACUCGCGGGGUAUCAUCUUGUUGGUGGGGUGGUGGGGUACCGAGUCGUUGAGACGUAGCCGACCGGCGGGGGUGAUCGGCAACAUUGGGACAGAGACACGGCCCAAAGGCGUACGGGAGGCAGCAGUAGGGAAGCGUCGGCAAUGGACGAAAGUCUGACGGAGCAACGCCGCGUGAGGGAAGAAGGUUGUCGGAUCGUAAAACUCGGUUGGUAGAGAAGAACGUUGGUGAGAGUGGAAAGCUCAUCAAGUGACGGUAACUACCCAGAAAGGGACGGCUAACUACGUG